GGGCCUUAUGGGUCUUCUGAAGCUUAUAUGGAGUAUCAUUAGACCUUUUAAAGUGGAGAAAUUACUGUUUAAUGGGAAUUUUGAAGUAGCUUGACGAACAGAAACCUUCAUGCUUUUCUGAGUAGGUGAAAUUUCUUUGAGAUGUUUACAAUUGCUGACAGACCCAGGAUGGCACACUUCUACAGGACUUCAGCAGCCCUACUAUAGUGUUUUGUUUCUGGAUUGUGACCAAGGACUUCAAAGCCAGGAGGAAAACUGAGCCAUGCAUGCUGUGGGCUUCGAGCACUGAGCCAGGCAGUACCUGCUGCCCCCUAGCUCCCUGCCAACAUUGACAGCACAGCUCUCCAGUGUCUUCACAAGUGCCCUAAAACAAAUAAUUGGAUAUUUCCUGGUGUAGAGCAUCGCAGCGGGUGCCACACAGCUCCUUUGACGAACCAUAGGCACGCUGCAGCUCACUGCAAUAUCCAGCCACUU
Lagopus leucura (white-tailed ptarmigan) is the source of this 474-nucleotide long non-coding RNA. RefSeq lists it as uncharacterized. The transcript has 3 exons. The record is from RefSeq and is a predicted model, not a curated record. NCBI's taxonomy places the organism in Eukaryota, Metazoa, Chordata, Aves, Galliformes, Phasianidae.